Molecule: long non-coding RNA, 176 nt
Organism: Melitaea cinxia (Glanville fritillary)
Lineage: Eukaryota; Metazoa; Arthropoda; Insecta; Lepidoptera; Nymphalidae
Exons: 3
Source: RefSeq, a predicted model, not a curated record
UUUGGUAUUAACUUUGAUAUAAAGGGUAAACCAGAGAGUGAUUGCCCACUGACAGUGAUCGCCCACUUUAAGAAAAAUAUUCUCAUGUGCUAUCUUUGAAUCAUUCUAGUUCGAUUAGAAUUUACUAGGUGGCUCUGUGAUUAUUGUAUAGUAUUUUUAAAAUUGACUGCUGGCAA